This 217-nucleotide ribosomal RNA is filed under the name uncultured bacterium. RNAcentral describes it as "partial 16S ribosomal RNA". It matches the Rfam family "Bacterial small subunit ribosomal RNA", at positions 122 to 334 of the family's 1533-position model. The record is from RNAcentral.
UAACCUGCCUCUUAGCGGGGGAUAACUAUUGGAAACGAUAGCUAAUACCGCAUAAAAGUCGGCAUUGCAUGAUGUUGACUUGAAAGGUGCAACUGCAUCACUAAGAGAUGGACCUGCGUUGUAUUAGCUAGUUGGUGAGGUAACGGCUCACCAAGGCGACGAUACAUAGCCGACCUGAGAGGGUGAUCGGCCACACUGGGACUGAGACACGGCCCAG